CCUACGGGUGGCAGCAGUGAGGAAUAUUGGUCAAUGGGCGCGAGCCUGAACCAGCCAAGUCGCGUGAAGGAUGACUGCCCUCCGGGUUGUAAACUUCUUUUAUAAAGGAAUACAGUGAGGCACGUGUGCCUUUUUGGAUGUGCUUUAUGAAUAAGGAUCGGCUAACUCCGUGCCAGCAGCCGCGGUAAUACGGAGGAUUCGAGCGUUAUCCGGAUUUAUUGGGUUGAAAGGGAGCGUAGAUGGGGUGUUAAGUCAGUUGUGAAAGUUUGCGGGUCAACCGUAGAAUUGCAAUUGAUACUGGCAGCCUUGAGUACAGGUGAGGUAGGCGGAAUUCGUGGUGUAGCGGUGAAAUGCUUAGAUAUCACGAAGAACUCCGAUUGCGAAGGCAGCCUACUAAACUGCCACUGACAUUGAUGCUCGAAAGUGUGGGUAUCAAACAGGAUUAGAUACCCGAGUAGUC
RNAcentral lists this ribosomal RNA (460 nucleotides) under uncultured bacterium. RNAcentral's name for it is "partial 16S ribosomal RNA". It matches the Rfam family "Bacterial small subunit ribosomal RNA", at positions 338 to 795 of the family's 1533-position model. The record is from RNAcentral.